RNAcentral lists this long non-coding RNA (350 nucleotides) under Carica papaya (papaya). Its description in RNAcentral is "long non-coding RNA (CPAP_LNC001512)". The record is from RNAcentral. Lineage: Eukaryota; Viridiplantae; Streptophyta; Magnoliopsida; Brassicales; Caricaceae.
UUCAUAGGGAACCCUAUCGUGAACGUUGUCCCAUACCGGACGGGGUAUGGAGACUUGGUAAUUUGGCGUUCAUAACGGACGAGGUAUAGGGACGGCCUGCUUCACCCUCAUACUAGAUUGGGUAUUGAGGCUUAAUAUCUUGGCGCUCAUACCAGACGGGGUAUGGGAAUGGCUCUGUAAUUAAGAUUGUUAAAGAAAAGGGUUCACGUGUAGCGGGGACACCCCUAUGGAUCCCCAUAGAUACUAGUAGGCUGGUGAAACGAGAAACGGUUAUGAAUUCGUCUAUUGUUAAUGGAUAUGAAUUUAUAAUAUGUACCGUGAUAGUUGAUUAUGCAUGAAAUUAUUAUCUG